Cercocebus atys (sooty mangabey) is the source of this 1394-nucleotide RNA transcript. It is a transcript of the gene named 39S ribosomal protein L30, mitochondrial pseudogene, with no coding region annotated. The record is from RefSeq and is a predicted model, not a curated record. The transcript has a single exon. Lineage: Eukaryota; Metazoa; Chordata; Mammalia; Primates; Cercopithecidae.
GGCUAAAACAUCAGAAGGUAUUAAGCUCCAAGCCUCUGCCCCUUCUAGUUAUUCUCUAAUCCCUAUCCUAUUCAAGGGGAAAAAAAGGAAGAAAGGAAGAGAGAAUUACUUAAAGUAAAAUUUUUCAGAUACAAAAAGGUGAUCUGUAAGUAAUGAUGGAAGGAGUGAGUCCUCAGCUUCUGCUGCUGGGAAGUCCUCAGCUUCUUCGUGCUGAAUAUUUAGCAGAUGCUGCCUCUAAAGAGAACAGUCACUACACUUAUGGCAGGGAUUUUGCUCUCAGUAGCUCAAGAGGCAAAAUGAACUACAGACUGGGACAAAAGGUGUGAAGUCUCUCAUUUACAUAGAUUGGAUUCAUCACAAAUUUACCAGGUCAAGAUUUCCAUAUCAAGUGUUUCAGCCUUCACUUGCAGAUCAUGAAAAAUAUGAUGGAGAUCCACAGAAUCUUCAGAAACUGCAUGUUGUUACCAGAAUAAAAAGUACAAAAAGGUGUCCAUAUAUUGGGAAAAAAUAUAAUAAAGAUGCUCAGAUUAGAAAACACACAUACCCCUCAAGUUCACAAGCAUAUCUCUUAAGUGAGUGCAAAACUGAAAGUGGUUAAACAGUAAGAAUCAAGCCCCUGAAGUUGCCACAAGGACUUCCAACUGAGGAGGACAUGUCUAAGCUCUGCCUCAAGAGCACUGGGGAAUUAGUGCAGUGGCAUCUGAAAUCUGUGGAGCAGAAAGCAAUUAAGUCCUAAUGCCCGAGGAGCUUCAGAUUAAAAAAUGGAAAUUUUUUUUUUAUUUAAAGAUGAUGAGAAAGUGUUUCAUUAAAACAUAUGUUAAAUAUAUAUAAAAAAAGAAAGUGGGCGAAAGAAGAAAGGAAGAAAUUUAGAUUGGUCAUUAGAGAAUAACUUCCUGACAACAAAAAUUGAAACAUGGAACACAUUAUCAAAGAACAUUAUGUUGGAUAAACUGAAGAAAAUACAACCUUGUGAAGGGCUGUCAACACACAAAUAGUGUCAACAUACACACAAGAUGGGGAAGUACAAAUAUAGUCUACUUGGCUCAGCCCCAUUUAUAAUUUAAAAUAGAAAAAUAAAAAAAGGAAAGUGGUAAAACAAACUUCACAGCACCAGUCACGACUGCACUACAAUUCUGCCAGCUUAAAUACAAGUUAGCAAAAUGCUAACCCCAGCCGGGUGCAAUGCUUCAUGCCUGUAAUUCCAGCACUUUGGGAGGCCAAGGCGGGAGGAUCAUUUGAGUUCAGGAUUUUGAGACCAGCCGGGGCAACACAGUGAGAGUCCAUCUCUACAAAAAAUAAAAAAUUAGCUGAUGUGGUGGCACAUUUCUAUAGUACCAGCUACUCAGGAGGGUGAGGUGGGAAGACGGCUUGAACACAGGAGGUUGAGGUUGCAG